AUGACCUGUGCUAGCCAUGCCGUGAUUUUCCUCGUCUUCUCAAAUUUGGCCAUAGCCAUGGGCGCCACCCCUCCUCCCUUAGCACCUUACGUAGGGAAGUGUACGAGUAGUUGUGAGGAAGAGCUGAAUCUAUCUUUGUACCUGCACCAAGUUGUCAGUGGAGCAGCCCACAACCAAGAAGUAAUUCUGAGCCCCGGCUUUGCUAAUUCGUUUGGUGUGAUGGCAGUUAAUGACUGGACUAUGCAUGCCACCAAUGAUUCCACUGCAAGUAUCAUUGCUCGGGCAAAGGGAAUGCAUAUCCAGGCUACCCAAACCCAGGCCAAUGGCUAUGCUUGGUUUCUUCCGUUCAACAUGGUCUUUGAGGACUCCAGCUUUCGCGGGUCGACAUUGCAAGUGAUGGGGAUAGUCAAUGAUGCGAAUGGUGAGUGGGCUAUUGUGGGUGGCACUGGAAAUCUGUCCAUGGCGCGUGGUACCGUGAAGUUCACCACAGUCCAGAGCAGCCCAAACAUUGAGAGCUACAAAAAAAUUGAUAUCCAUGCAUUCUACACAACCCAGCCGACCGUUUAA
Molecule: ribosomal RNA, 567 nt
Filed under: Triticum aestivum (bread wheat)
Lineage: Eukaryota; Viridiplantae; Streptophyta; Magnoliopsida; Poales; Poaceae
Description: partial small subunit ribosomal RNA
Source: RNAcentral